UGUGCCAGCAGCCGCGGUAAUACGUAGGGGGCGAGCGUUGUCCGGAAUCAUUGGGCGUAAAGAGCUCGUAGGCGGCUGACUAAGUCGGCGGUGAAAGCCCAAGGCUCAACCUUGGCACUGCCGUCGAUACUGGUCUGGCUAGAGUCCGGUAGAGGAGAACGGAAUUCCCGGUGUAGCGGUGGAAUGCGCAGAUAUCGGGAGGAACACCUGUAGCGAAGGCGGUUCUCUGGGCCGGAACUGACGCUGAGGAGCGAAAGCGUGGGGAGCAAACAGGAUUAGGUACCCUGGUAGUCCACGCCGUAAACGUUGGGCACUAGGUGUGGCGACCCGACCAACGGUUGCCGUGCCGAAGCUAACGCAUUAAGUGCCCCGCCUGGGGAGUACGGCCGCAAGGGCUAAAACUCAAAGGAAUUGACGGGG
Molecule: ribosomal RNA, 420 nt
Filed under: uncultured bacterium
Lineage: Bacteria
Description: bacterial SSU rRNA
Rfam family: Bacterial small subunit ribosomal RNA
Source: RNAcentral